UUGAAAGUUAGCGCUCGUCCUGUUCUCUUGUUCUUGUCCGCGUCGUCUAGCGCUAUGACCUCAUCUGAUAUGUCUAUUUGUCAGUUCUUGUCAAGGGUUGAUAAAAAAGAAUGAACUACAGUGACCAGCUGUGUGAUAGUCGAAUAACCUCUUCUGAACCCACGCUGAAAGUUAAAAUGGAAUGCUUCUUUAGAUAUGUUUGUAGGCUUUUUUCUAUGAUAUGUUCGAUGAGUUUGUGAUGAAAUUAAAGAAUUAGGACGGUAAAUUUCUACAAGUAGACGGUAGCUCUUUUUAUGAAUUGGUUGAGGAAUUGUUCCUGGACUUCAAAACAGGUGCGCAUGGUGCAAAAAAUACCAAGCAAAAUUGUUUUGUUACUAAGACUUCUUUAAGGGUGAACGAACUAUACUAACAAAGUUUACUUAGAAGCUAAAUAUAGCAAUAAUCCAGUAGAGGUCCUCACUCAGUCAUGACUGUUACAACGCAUAUCUGCUACUUUUAAUUCCUACAGAAGCCACUCAGUGGUGUAAUGAGCCAGUCUUCGCCAGCAGACAUGGUUGUAGAGGGGUACUUACAGCAUGGACAUGGCGACGCACGGGUGCAAACUAUAAUGCGACAUUUUGAAAGGAUAUUUUUCACUCCUUUUUAUUGGAAUAUGAAGAAUACGAAGCAGCGAAGUUAAAGUAAACUGGAUCAGAUAAAAACAUUUGCGCAUUAAUUAUUCUUUAUCCUGGCACUGUGUCCUAUCAAUUAUUUUGCAGAAUGACCUGCCUUUCCCAGAGUUCUUCACUGCAAACGCAUCUGCGUGUAAUGGAAAGCAUGCCACCCUGGAGAUUUUGAUACUACGACAAUGUCUUUUGCGCAAAAGUGAAAAAAAAAAAUAAUCAGGCGGCGUUACGCACAAGAAUAAUCCGAGAAAAAAGAAGACAAUGAAAGAAAAACCGCAAAGGUAAAAGGAAGCAGAAAGAUUUGUUCCGUGAGCAUUGUUUGAACAUGAAUAUAAGCGCAUGCGGGCGCGAACAACAUGUUUUCGAAAUGCAUGACUCUUCAAUAUGAGAAUAUUUUACCGUUCAAACCUUCUGCUUGCGUUAGCCGUUGUGGCCGCUGUUGUUGCGACGGUAGAAAAUCAAGUUCCUCCAUUUAGCCUUGCUGCUCCAUUUCUUACGUGUUGUCCCAAGCCAAGUCGUCAGAAGCGUCAACCUUCGAGGCAAGAAAUACCACAGUAUAUUCCUCACCCCGCUCCGGCAAACAUUCAUUCUGACCGAGGACUGCAAGCACAACAACAUAAAGCACAACGUGCGUCUAUGAAACGCGCAAACCAACACACGGGUACCAACGGAAAUAACGCACCUGUGAAGCCGCCUGGAAAUCGUAGGAGAGGCACUGGAAAUCGAAAGUCCCUGCCCUUGUUUUAAGGUCGCCCGAAAAGCGUAUAACCGACACACUGUUCUGUGCAGUUAGGUUUGGCAAAAUGGAAGAGCGAAAUAAAAAUUUACGCAUUUCUU
This is a long non-coding RNA of Dermacentor silvarum, 1502 nucleotides long. RefSeq lists it as uncharacterized. Lineage: Eukaryota; Metazoa; Arthropoda; Arachnida; Ixodida; Ixodidae. The record is from RefSeq and is a predicted model, not a curated record. The transcript has 2 exons.